This 250-nucleotide ribosomal RNA is filed under the name uncultured Actinomycetes bacterium. RNAcentral describes it as "uncultured actinobacterium partial 16S ribosomal RNA". It matches the Rfam family "Bacterial small subunit ribosomal RNA", at positions 524 to 773 of the family's 1533-position model. Lineage: Bacteria; Bacillati; Actinomycetota; Actinomycetes. The record is from RNAcentral.
UACGUAGGGCGCGAGCGUUAUCCGGAAUUAUUGGGCGUAAAGAGCUUGUAGGCGGUUUGUCGCGUCUGCUGUGAAAGCCCGGGGCUUAACCCCGGGUGUGCAGUGGGUACGGGCAGACUAGAGUGCAGUAGGGGAGACUGGAAUUCCUGGUGUAGCGGUGAAAUGCGCAGAUAUCAGGAGGAACACCGAUGGCGAAGGCAGGUCUCUGGGCUGUUACUGACGCUGAGAAGCGAAAGCAUGGGGAGCGAAC